This 253-nucleotide ribosomal RNA is filed under the name uncultured bacterium. Its description in RNAcentral is "partial 16S ribosomal RNA". It matches the Rfam family "Bacterial small subunit ribosomal RNA", at positions 524 to 776 of the family's 1533-position model. The record is from RNAcentral.
UACGUAGGCAGCAAGCGUUGUUCGGAAUUACUGGGCGUAAAGAGUGUGUAGGCGGUGCUCUAAGUCUGUUGUGAAAUCUCCCGGCUUAACCGGGAGGGUGCGGCGGAAACUGGAGUGCUUGAGGGUGGGAGAGGUAAGCGGAAUUCCUGGUGUAGCGGUGAAAUGCGUAGAUAUCAGGAGGAACACCUGUGGUGUAGACAGCUUACUGGACCACUUCUGACGCUGAUGCGCGAAAGCUAGGGGAGCAAACGGG